UGCGCAGUGAGCUCAACCUGGUUGAUAGCCAGUGAAUGUCUUCAACUACCUGGCUUUUGUUUUGGGUUUUGUUUGCUUUGACUCAAGGUCUUGAGGAGCCCAGGCUGGCCUCAGGCUGGCUAUGUAGCCAAGGAUUCCCUCAUACUCUCUAUCUUCCUGUCUCCACCGCCCAAGCAGUACUGGGGAUGCUUGGACAGCACUUUCUCGCUGAGCUGUUUCCCCACCCAGCCUUCCCUUGCCAAGUGUUUAUUUUCUUCCCAGGGACUGCAAAGGCAGGUGAUUGUCAUGUGAGGCUCGGUGGCAACCCUGUUAACCGGUUGUUCAUUAAUGUGAUCCCUCGGCCAGAUCUUGGAGAGCUUUCCCAGACAGAUGUUAACGUUUGUCCGAGAUGCCUAGAUGCGAGAUGCCUAGAUGUGGCGUCUAGCCCUCACACUUCCUGUCUUGGUGUCUUUAGGCAAAUUAUUCCUUCUCUCCUAGACUCUCCUUUCUUCACCUGGAGGAACUUGGUGAUUAUCCGAGCCGCCUUUUAGAUGUGCUCGUGAGAAUUAAAAAAAAAAAAA
This 560-nucleotide long non-coding RNA is filed under the name Rattus norvegicus (Norway rat). Its description in RNAcentral is "long non-coding RNA NONRATT007432". Lineage: Eukaryota; Metazoa; Chordata; Mammalia; Rodentia; Muridae. The record is from RNAcentral.